RNAcentral lists this long non-coding RNA (321 nucleotides) under Homo sapiens (human). Its description in RNAcentral is "long non-coding RNA NONHSAT163997". Lineage: Eukaryota; Metazoa; Chordata; Mammalia; Primates; Hominidae. The record is from RNAcentral.
GACCUGUCACGAGACACGCACGCCCGAGCCAGGGAAGGCCUUUGGUCCUAUACCUCGAAUGUUCCGGGGAUAGGGGCACGGUCCUCCGUUUCCAGACGGUUCCUACUCGUUUCCCGCAAAAAGCACCUCCCGCUGGUUGGGGUGUAGUGGUGGAAGCUGGCCUCUCGAAUGCAGAACAGGAAGUAGCGAGCAGAAUUUCGUACCCGUUUAACUUUGCCAUCUAGGGAAAGGGAAUAAACCACCCUCCUCGCUCCUGAAAUAACAUCUAGCUGCCAUUGAGAUGAGCAGGUGUGCUCUCAGAGGGCGGGAUUUGGCGCUUGC